ACCUGGCUGGCUCAGUCGGUAGAGCAUGUGACUCUUAAUCUCAAGGUCGUGAGUUCAAGCCCCACACUGGGCA
Molecule: non-coding RNA, 73 nt
Organism: Callorhinus ursinus (northern fur seal)
Lineage: Eukaryota; Metazoa; Chordata; Mammalia; Carnivora; Otariidae
Source: the annotation of a RefSeq genome assembly